UGCCAAAUGCCACAGAGACCUCCAGGGAGAGUGAGAGUUAUACUUGGACUGACUUCAUCGGUCAGAAAGCCUUCCCCUAACAGCAGCAUUAUUUCUGCUAUUAACCCCAUACAUCUCUGGAUAAAGAAACUGAAAACGUGGCCUUUGGAAGAAUCAACAGUAAUGUUGUGAAAAAAAUAUAUAUUCUUUUCACUGACCGAAGUGUUUUUUCAAAUAAAUAAUCAGAAAUGUUAUGCUACACAAAGUUUAUGGUAUCCCUUCUCUACUAAUUCAAUGACUCUUCAAUGUGAUGAUCCCAAGCAAAAAAAAAAAAAAAAAAAAAAAAUCAACUACUGAUCAGAUGGUCAAUUUCUAAGGAAAAGAUGUAGAGUUAUUCAAAGGUCAUCUAAGUCAGUUCAGUCUUUGCAAAAAGAAUAUCAGGAAUGUAACGUCCAGUGGUAAAUGGAACCCACAGUAUGAGAAGUAACAAGAAUUAAAUAGGAAGCCUGGAAGCCUGAGACUAUAGAUCUAUCACAGAAGAUUCCCGUAACAUAUCCCAGCUCUGAGUUCUUAGAUUUGUUGAUGUCAAGGAGCCCAAAUUUCUGAACACAAAUGCCUGAGUUUCAGCUGGCUUAAGUCAGAGCUGGCAUCCAUAAUGAUAUUUUGUUAAUUCUAAUUGGUUUUCCCCACUUGAGAAGGACCCAACUAGUCCUCAGAUAGGUACACUUGAAUGCAAACGGUUGGGUCUCUGUCCAUGGGUAAUAGCACGCACAUGCAACCAAUUUAAAAUACUCUGGGUAAGAGAGUCUUCUAGAGCAUAAACUGUACUUGAGAAACCUUUGUGCUUCUGGAAAAUGGGUUUCAUCAUCCUUACAUCUGCAGGUUCUUAGGCCACUUAUGGUUUCAAUGCUCUGAGCUGGCAAGUCCCUAUAGGUCUAUCUUUCUGCCAGAGAGACUUGCAGGAUUAUAAUCUCACAAUCUCACCACUCAUUACUGUUAUGUCCUCUGCAAAUCUCUCUGCGUUAUUUUAGCCAGCACCAUGACUGGGCAUCCACGGAUUACUCUUGAUUUUCUCUUCCCUGAUUCACAGGAUGCCAGAGAGUCUGAGUAUUUAGUUUUUCUGGUGAAAGCAUUAAAAUUCACACAUUGCAGCAAAAUCUGUCAAAUCAUUUCACGCUUAUUUUCUGGGGAGAAAAAUAGAAAAUUACACCUUGUUUACAAAUGAAAUAGUUUCACUUAAAUGGGACUCUAGCCAAGGCAGUUAAUUAGUCAAAAGAUCCACAGCUGUCAUAUAGUCACACAUUGUUUAUUCUAUUUGCUAUGUCGACCACUGAUGUGUAUUUAAUAUUCUGCAUCCUUCACAGGAAAUGACAAAUGCCCUGAAUUAUUUGCAAAUAGAAUUGCUAAUGAAAAAGAAAAAAAAUGUUGAUGUUAAUUAAAUGGUGAUUAAAAAUUUAUCUCCUUUAAAUCUAAAAAGUGCAGCUUUAAUAAUCAGUUGUCAUAUAAAUAAGUACCUUGUACUGAAAUCCCUUGCGGUUUAAGACCUAAAUAAACACUAAUUUGAGAACUCUAAAUACCUUACAGAGGAGCUGGAUAUAUUCGUUAACAUUAUGCACAUUCCUGUACUGUUUCUUUGUGCAUAGCUGUUGUGCAUGAAUCCUUGAAAAGGGGACAUGCGUUGUUUCUGAAAUGGAGCCUGUUUGUAUUAACCAUGGCUAUAGUAGACAUGAUUGGACUCAAAGAAAAAGAAGUUUGAGUAGGUGGAAGCUAAAUGUGUUGCUUGAUAUUUAAUGAGUGAAGGGUUCUAUGUAAAGGCAAUUUUCCUUCCAAAAGUACUGUUUAUUUUCACUGGAGACAAAAUUAGACCUUUCCAGAUACCCCAUCUCUUUUUGGUGAACAGGGUUGAAAGUGCUGUGGGGUCUAUACUUGAAAAGUUCUCCCAAUAUGCAGUUACUGUUUCCCAUUCAAUCCCUAUACAUUGUACUGUGUUCAUAUCUAAUUGUAUCAGAUGAGGUCAGCUUGCCACUUGAUAUAGAUCAGAGAUGAUCAAAUGCACUUAUCCUGUGAAUACAACUGCUUGUGUACACAUGUAUAUAAUAUACAUGCUUGAUUUCUACAAUUCACACGUAAGUGUAUUAUCCAAAUAAAAUUGUACAUAUUGUAAAGUUUAUGUUAAAAAUUAAAUGGUGAUGAUGGUAUUAACACAUGGAAAACCCAUUCUGGUUAUUUUUAUGGGAGGAUAUUUCUGUAGAGAGGGCACUAUAUUUUUUUAAUCUCAGUUGUAGGGAGGAUGACAGAGCCUAAGUAGAAUAUGGGUGUUGGCGUUCUUGGCCCCUUCUUUAAAAAACAAAACUCUGGGAUGAGGGGUAUAGAAUAUAUUCUGCUCGCAUUUGCUUCUGAAGACAAUGCCGAUAUGGACUUGUGUGUGAUUUCCUUAAACACAUCAAAGGGCAUAGAUUUCCUAUUUAAAUUCCUUAUCCUCUUUCCUCACCUGCACUCUUUCUGUGCCCAGCAGUACUUUCAGUAUAGUAUUAGCUAGAAGUGCCUGCCCAGAAGGGUCUUAGAAAAAUAGAGUUCGUAGAACCACACCAAAAGUUAGGAGAAGGGGAGGAGAGAUGAGAAAAAUGAAGUUUACAAAUGGGCAGUUGCCUGUUUAAGAUCAUCAAGUUAGAGAGUAUCAGAGCGAGGAUUAGAUCCAAGACAUGGUUCAAUUUCUGGCUCGAUUCUCUGACCGGGCUGACUUAUUUCUAGGUUUCUUUCAAGGGGAAACUCCUGAGUAGCUCUGGAAUAAGAGCCAGAGAUCCCCAUAAGGCUGCCCUGGUUUUUGUUUUGUUUUGUUUUUUGUUUUUGCCACUUGCCCCAGAAAGACCUACCCAUGCUUCUUUGAAUUUGGUUUUCCUUUAAACUCCCUCACAAUCCCUGUCUUAAAGUUCCUAGAAGAGAAAACUUUUCUCAGAGACCGUCUCCUUAGGAAAAAUCAACAGGGAUAUUGUUUAAAACCUCAAACUGAAGAUAAAAGGCUGGCAGUGACCAUUGAAAUAAUUGAGGUCUAUGUAUCAUGCAUUGAGGAAGAACCAAGCACAUUGACCAGCUAAUAGGACUUCACUGAAUGUCCACUUUAUUUUGAAAGCCAGUUUGGGAUUGUGGGGGAGGGGAUGCAAAAUAAAUAGAAAAUAUAGUCUCUUCCCAUAAGUAGCUUAUGGUUUAGAAGUUCAGUUCUCUAAUACAAAGGAUAACCAAGGACCCAUGCAAUGCAAACAGAGACUAAACAGCAAAAAUUAGAAAUGACAACUAAAGUUGUAGCCAGGAAAAAAAAAAUAAUCUGAUUCUAUGAGCAUACCUUUUUUAAAAAAAAAAAAAAAGUCCUUCCCUAAACCUUUAAGUAACUCCGGAGAAUAGAGUUAGUGGUCCCGGAAAUGCAGUUGAUUUAUUUUAAUCUUCAAAUAAUGGACUUAGGAGACCCAGGAGCUGCUAACCAGGUGAACACACUCACACUCCUACAUUUUUGCACAGGAAGGCUUUUGUCUGGUUCCAACCAGUUCUCCAGUCCUUGCCAAAUCAUGCCUCCUCCCAGCCUUGCAUUAUGACAUGUGCCUCAAGAAAAGGUUGAAAAAAUUCCCCAAAGGAUUAGAAAAUAGACCAUGAUGUAAAAAGACGAAGCAUUUCCCUAAAGCUUUUUUGUUUGGUUUUGUUUUUGACAUUUGAAGAACCCUUCUGAUACACCAGGGUAUGAAUGUAUCAGGGAAGCAUAGAGGGAAAAUUCUUUAUCAAGUUCCAAGUGCCUACUGCUGUGGCUGACAGAAAGCAUCAGGUUCCCUAGAGAGAAAACGGGGCAAAGAGAUGGCAAAAGGAAUAGAGGUGUAUUUCAGGAAGGAUGGCGAGGUGGAGAGGGAGCUUUUGUCACUCUGUCUAUCCCAUUCUGUGCAUUCUUGGAAUGUUACAUUUUCUGCUUAUCGCAAGUACUUGCCAUGGAUCUGCACCUGAAUUUGAAAAUAUCAAAAUAUAUCUAAAUUGAGUGUAGGCGAUAUUCUAGGCAUAUCCUAGAAUGUGAUCCUCAAAACAACCUUAAGAUAUAAAUAUGAUUGCUCCCAUUUUACAGAUAAGGAAACUGAGGCUCAGGUUUUUCUCAACCUCGUCAGCAACUAGAAUUAGCUAGUAAAUCCCUAACGUUAGACAUAUUUUCAAAGUGCCUGGUCUCCUCCAGGGAGGUCAGAAUAGAAGUCAGAAAGAGAGGUGUGCUCUUUUGAGGUUCCUGGGCAUAUACCCUUGAGUAUCAGCCUCUGUGACAGGGAAGUCUGUUAGGGUCUUACCCCUCAUUGCCUGAUCUGUGUGUAUGGAGAACUUCUGGGGAUCUCACCUCUGUUCAUAGUUCCUUCUGAGACUUGAACACUGUUUGUGUCUCCCUUUCAUAUGCUUGCACUUAGCAUUUAAAAAAAUUUCUGGGGAGUUAUUUUCUCUACUUAGCAUGUGCCUAAUCUUAAAUAUCUCUUUCCUAAUGUCUCAUCUUUUUAUCAGUCAACAUCAGGGCUAAUUCCAUUAAACAUAUAUACAUAGUACAUGCUCUCAUGUGUGUGGGUAUGCACACACACACACACAGCCAUGUGACCCUCCAUUAAAGUCCUCCUAAAUAUUGUGACCCAUGUUCAAAGAGGUGAUAUUAUUUGCAAGUUGACUAUUCCUCCUAUUUCAUGUCUAUGUUUGGUUAUCUUUGCCAGGCAGAUGGAAUGAGUUUCAGAGGUGGGACAGGGAAUAGGAAAUAGAGUUUCUGCAUGAAUGAUGGAGAGCUUUGGUAGUCAGAAUGAUUGAGGACCAGCUAUUAAAAUGUUGUUGUUGUUUUCCUUCUUGGUCUGUUCCUUUUUUUUUUUCUUUUCCAAAUUGUCUUAGAGAUAAUUCCCGGCUCACUUAGCAUUAGGAUAAUGACGGUUAUUCUGUCCCACUGAAGAGUGUUGAACUGGAACGCUUCCACCGGGCUUUAUAGGUACCCAGAAUGGCCUAAUGUUUAACAUAUCCUGCAGGCAUGCCCCUGAGCACACACUGCCUUUCCUGCAUUCCCCCCUCUCCAUGGUCUAAGCCACAUUUCUUUCCUGGCAUUUAUAUUUACUGAGAGGUGAGGGGUGCAUUAGGCCCAUUUGAUGGAUGAGGACACUAGCGGGGAUUUGAAGGAAUGUCUUUCUGGGAGUCUCCAUGAAUUCUCUGGAGAGUUAGCUAACUUAAUGCAAGUUAAGUGCUAGUCUAUGAGAAAAAUUUCUCAGCUGUUUUCAUCUUUCAAGCUGGCAGUAAAAAGCCUUUUAAGACAGAAAGAUUAUUAUUUGUUAUUUGGAGAUCCUGUUGUUGGGUCUACAAGUGCGUGACCAUGUUCUCCUUGGAAUGUUGAGCUAUGCAGAAAUGGAGCACUCCAAAGAACGAUUUGACCAAUAGCAUUUCUUCUCUGGGGGUUGUAUUUCAAAGCAUGCAACUCUCCAGGGAACCAGAACUAAAUUGCUUAAAAUGAAGUCAUUCCUCAGAUUAACUUCCUCAGAUAAAGUGUCAGCGGUCUGCAGAAACGAAGAAGACAAAACUGAGAUUAUCACUCAUAAUUCUCUUACUUACUAUGUCAGUGAAACAAUGAGUUUGCAUUUUUGCAAUCCUAGAACAUUCUUCAUUAGCCCUGGGUCAUGACCUCUUCCAGUUAAUUCUCUUUCACACCUUUAGGAAAGAUUUAAGAUGAACCUUCAAUAGGAUAUUAACAUAACUCAUAGCCAAUACCACAGCUGCCUUUCAAAUUAAUGAGGUUAAUUGUUCUCCAGCAAACAUGAGUUUGUCUUUGGCAUUUUAAAUGCUUCCCAUUGAUCUGACAUUUUGCUGUUUCAAGUUUUAAAGGGCUCAAAUCAAAGACUAUUGAUAACUGAGCAAAGAGCGAAGAUCCAGAAAUACGAAAACAUUGUCUUUUUUUUUCCAUGAAAAACAAUCAUAGCCUUUUGAAUUCAAUCGAAGUUUCUACAUUAGCCAUCUAAGACUUAUUUAAUUAUUUCUGUUCUCAGUCAAGCUAAUUCAAGUGAAUGAACAGUAUUGACUUUUAAAAUCUUUUUUAAAUUUUUUUAAAUCUUUAGUUUAUUAAGUUUGUAGAAAAGCUCUGGGGCCAUGACCACUUACGUAAAUGUUUCAGUUUAAAAACAAAAGAUUCAGGCCUCUAAUUUGAGCCAAAUCCAGGUGAUCUUGUUUGAAAUUUUUGAUGAAUUUGAAAAGAUGAAAGUGGAACUUUUAACAUUCAUGUUCCCCAAAUUUUUCACUGGGAAGGGAUGCUAAUUGCCUACUUAAGAUAUAAGUUCAAGAAUAACAUUUUCAUAGAAAAUUCAGAAAACUGCUUGACACAGCAGUGACAUAGUUAGAUGUGGCUCAGAUGCCUUCCAAACCUGAGGGUCCCCAAAGAUUUCUUUACCAGUUGUUUUUAACUAUGAAUCUUAAUCUUGUUCAUUCCCCUGCCAAAACAAAUUUAAAAGCAUAAACCUGCUGAAUUAAUUGGCAGAAUUCACCAUAGUUUAUAUCACCCCAGAAUGUUUAUGUGUAUAUGUUUAUGUAUAGUAUAUAUAUUUCAAGCUGAAUGUUCAGAAAGAAUAAGGUGAGUUUCUUGGUAGCUUGAAUAAGAAUUAGAUCAUAAAAAUUAUAAAUAAUGGCCUUCUCAAAGAGGAUAAAUGAUUCAUUUUUCACUCACGUAUUAAUAAUAUGACUUGUUGCAUAAUACACAAGCUGGUCAUUGCCUGCAAGAAAGUUAUUGAAUUAAGCAGCUAUCCAGGUUUAUGUCUGAGUCCAUUUUUAACCCAACAAGGCUAGGAUUGAACUCCAUAUGCAGAGGGUUUCUAUUCACAGCUACAUUCAAACAGAAUCCAAAACCCACAUCAGAACUGACUUGAUGUCUUGUAUGGUGGAGCUGAAAGCAAGCUGUCUGCUCUAAGCAAUGGUCUUCAUUUGGGAAUUAAUGUUCACUGAUCAACUGCAGCAGUUUAUAUCUGUCAUGUUUUAAUCCACUGCAUGAGGAAGUGCUAAUAAGUGUAUUAAAUAUUUCCAAGCAUAGCUACAAAAUUAUAUGUUUGCUUAACACCUUUCUAUGAUAGAGGAAGUAUAUACUAUGGUUGUCUUCUUGUAGUAUGUCUUUUAAUUUUGUUCAAUGUGUUAUCAACUGUUUUAAGGAAUGGGGAUUGAAAUUCGUGUGCAAACUGAUAUGUAUAUAACUCCUGAGGCAACAGAAGUGCCCGGUCAUAUGGUGUAAAAAUGUAAAUACAGGAAAAUUUCAUUUUUCUAAUAAAGAUAAUUUCUGCCAAUUGAUAUGAAAA
This 7289-nucleotide long non-coding RNA is filed under the name Homo sapiens (human). RNAcentral's name for it is "non-protein coding lnc-EMP2-1:3". The record is from RNAcentral. Lineage: Eukaryota; Metazoa; Chordata; Mammalia; Primates; Hominidae.